This 1159-nucleotide long non-coding RNA is filed under the name Numida meleagris (helmeted guineafowl). RNAcentral's name for it is "lncRNA (ENSNMEG00000014089.1)". Lineage: Eukaryota; Metazoa; Chordata; Aves; Galliformes; Numididae. The record is from RNAcentral.
AGAUAAUCAUAAAUACAGGUUUUAGCAUUAUCGUUUCUAGGAAUAGAAAAUGUCCAAUAGCUAAUCACAUUCUGUUGCAAAAAAGAGGACGCAGUCCCUUUCUAAAAAAGCAAGAAACAGCUCCUCCUUUUCUCCCCCCCCCUCCCAAAAAAAGGAAAAAAAUUCAGGCAUUGAUGCUGACUAAUUUAAUAUGCUGAGAAUGAAGAGUGGCAGUUUUGCUUGUUCCCUUUUUGCUUGUUCCCUUCACUACUUACUCAUUUUGGUUUGAAGUACAGAGCAAAGGAUGCGUGAACGGUGUUGGAGCUGUGUUCCUGCCUGCAUACUGUGGCAGUGAGUAAUGCAGAGAACUUUAUACUGCGCAACAUCUUGUGACACAGAAGAUAACUGUGAUCUGUCUAUUUCCUUUCUAGAUGGCACCAAGCCCUCCCAUAUGUGCUGUGAAAAUGAUGAGAAUGACUUCAGAGGCUGUGUGUGCUGGCUGAUGAGAGAAGCUAAAAAGAGGAACCUCGAAAUUAAACUGAUGGAUAUGGGAUGAAAGGGCAUUUCAUAGGAAAUUGAUCAAGGUGUGGGACUGGCUGCUGGAAGAGGGAUGAUCACUCAGUUUGCUUUGUAUCUUUACCCAGAAAUUUUUCCUAUCUGAUGGCUCUGCUCCCUGAUUCCCUGAGACUCAGCAUGUCUUGGAGUAAGUUGAUAGGACUGUUGUGCUGUGUGUGUUAUUCCAUGGCUGGCUUAGCCCUGCUCACUGACCUGCUCUUUCUCUCUCUUUUCACCACCCUCUGCCCACUCCCUCAGUGCAGCUUUUGCUCCCGGAAGAACAGAGUGAAGUGAUGAGGAAUGGCUGUGAAUUCAAGGAACUUGUCUACCUUGUUCAGAUCUUGCCAGGUAAAUACCAUGUUUUCUUCCCCAACAUCAUUUCGCAGCCCAUGUCACACUAUGUUUAGUAACAGAGCCUCAUAAAACUUUGAUGUGACAAUUCUCUGUGUCAUAUGUGGGAUUUUUCCUCUUCCCCUCCAGCUGAGGCCCCAGAACGAUGCUGUCUGUGGUGUUGUGACCAGCUAGUCUUAAGGAAACAAAUCCUUUAGGCAAAUAAUCCUGGCCCCAGUUUGUGCAGAGCCGCACAACAUGACCCAGGGACACACAAGUAUGCAUGUAUGUGCCU